GGAGGUGUAUCGAAGUGGUCAUAACGAGCCUGACUCGAAAUCAGGUUGUCACUUUUUGUGGCACGAGAGUUCGAAUCUCUUCGCCUCCG
Molecule: non-coding RNA, 89 nt
Organism: Lachnoanaerobaculum sp. ICM7
Lineage: Bacteria; Bacillati; Bacillota; Clostridia; Lachnospirales; Lachnospiraceae
Source: Rfam